CGGAAGUGGUGCUGCAGCUUGUGCUCCCGAGAACCCCGAUUCCUCCACGCCCCCUCCCUCCCUCCCUCCCCCCACUGGCUCGGAGUUGAGCCGAGGCUGAGAGAAGGCGGGAGCGCCGGAAACGAAAAGGGGGGAGGGAGGGAAAUAGCUAUGUAGGGGGGGCCACAAUGGGGAAAGGGGGAAAUGCAAAGGUCGAGUCACUUCCGGGAGCGGCAAGAGCACAUCCGGCGCGGCUCGCGCUCCAGGGUAUUCAGGGCGGACGUUACGACAAAUAGGGGCGGAAGUGGCUUCUGCCCAGGGACGCAGGACCCGCCAGGGAUGUGACGCCACAGCGGAAGUGAAGGUGUGCUCUUGAAUGUCUCAAUACUGUGAAUACACGGAGAGGGAUAAGGGUGUGUCGGCUUUCUGAGAUCCCUACUUUGGCCCAAGGAGUAACUAAUAACCUUUCCCAGCCAUCAGAGUCCGCCCCGUCUCUGACCACACCCGUUACUCCCCUUUUCUUUGGUCUCUAAACUCCACUGGCCGUCGUCCACAGCUCUAUCUCCUCCCCUGGCUUUACUUUUAAAUAUAUCACUCACCUCUACCUGGUACAUUGUUUGCUGUCCUCCUUUUCCUUCUGGAAUGUCGGCUCCAUGAGGACAAGGACUGUGAAUUGUUCACUGCCCUAUCCUCAGAGCUGGGCGCUUAACCGUCGGUAAACGUUUAUUAUAUCAACUAUCAACGAACAGUUACAAUGAAAUCUUUCAGGAAGCCUUCCUCGAUUGCUCCAACCCGUAACGAUCCUGUCCUCUGAAUUCCCACAGCAUUCGGUCCCUACCUUUUGUUGCUGUUUUGACUAUUUCGUGUAUGUGAUCUUCAGCGAAAUUGUCAGCAACUCAGGGGAGAAACUGUCUCAUACAUGGUACCUUCCCACUGCUUUGCUAAUCACACAGUAAAUGCUGAAUAAAUAUAUGCCAUUUAAGCAAAUAAAUGCUCCCACUAGCCUGCCCCGGAUCUGACUAGAAUCCCUCUGGGCUUGGCUCUAUUUUGAGUGAAACAGAAUUGAAGUGCCUCCUAUUAACAGUAAUAUUUCCUUGCUUAGAGAUUAAAAUAACCGUGAUAGGAAUAAUUGUAAUGCCAAAUCUUACAGAUAAUGAACAUAAGACUCUGAAGACUUCAGUGAAUUUUCCCAAAAUCACAGCGCAGAAGUAGCAAAAGAUACCUAAAAAUAAACAUUUCAAUUAAAUGUUUAAAUGGAGGAUA
Sus scrofa (pig) is the source of this 1242-nucleotide non-coding RNA. NCBI's taxonomy places the organism in Eukaryota, Metazoa, Chordata, Mammalia, Artiodactyla, Suidae. The record is from RefSeq and is a predicted model, not a curated record.